This is a non-coding RNA of Python bivittatus (Burmese python), 5855 nucleotides long. NCBI's taxonomy places the organism in Eukaryota, Metazoa, Chordata, Lepidosauria, Squamata, Pythonidae. The record is from RefSeq and is a predicted model, not a curated record.
UAAUAUAAAAAUGAAUAAAACUGAUUGGUAAUGUUAAAGAAGAAAUAAUGUGACAUUAUUUUUCCACAAGAGGGCAGUACUCUAAAAAAACAAAAGAAAGUAGAUAUUUAACAUUAAAAUUGUCUUAUCUUUCCAUGAGAUUUGUGUGCAUUCCAUACUGCCUAAGGAGUAGACAUACCAAGGGGGCGGGGGGGGGGGAUCUUGUCCAUUCUGGGUAAUACGAUUGUGACUCUCAACCAUUUUAGAAGUGGCAUGUAAAACCUGAAUAGCAGACAAUCAUAUUUAGAAAUGCUUUGCCAUAGCAUAGUACAGCUGGAGAUACUACAAUAGAGGCACUUUGGGUAUAUCCAGCCACUUUGCUUCACAUUCUUCUCAGUGAAGCAAAGCUGAUCUGUGUGUAUAUGUCAGUGGGGACAACCAGGAACGGUGUCUGAAAAUGGCUGCUUUAACAAGUUAAAAAAAGGGGCUUCAUAUGCACUUUCAGAAGGCAAUUUAAGGAACUAUGAUUCCCUGAAAUGGAAACUCCCUGAAAUAAAUAGUAUCACCGUUAUUUCACUAGAAAGGGUUGAAGAGCCUGCAGAGUCUGAGGAUUUUCUCCCACUAGCUGCCAUAUAAGAAGCCAUUUCAGCCAUGACAGUUGGUGGAAAGAAAUGAAAGGGUGAUACAACUUAUUGCGAUGACAUUAUGAUGGGAUAAAUGUUAAGUGUAAGGACAUUUUAUGGGAAGGGAAGAACAGAAGAUGAGGAGCUGGGAGGUAGUCCUGCACCAUACUCAGCAUUUUAGCACUGAAACAUAACUAGCUUUUUUGCGCUGAGUCAGACAGGUCCCAGUAGCUUAAUGAGACCUGAAACUCUGUAUGUAAAGCAAGUACUCACUGUCCUUUCCAUAAAUACCCAGUGAUCUUGAGUGGAUGUGAUGGGGGAAAAUCAUUGCAAAGGAAAUUAAGGGCGAGAAAAAUACACUUUUUUAAAAGGGGGUUGGGAAGGGGAUUAAAGCUGAAUCUGGAUCUAAUUAUCUUGGAAAUUAGAGAGCUCAUUGAUUCAUGAAAACACAAUAAUUCAAAUUAUGCACUGACACUUGUACUUAUUCACAGAUCUGUGUAAUCAGCGACAACUAUGUGCUAACUGGAUAAAAAUACAGUGGGGAAGUUAUAUAAUAAAAACACAGCACUCCCUUUCCUGUAAGUAUCUGUUAUGACAUGACGCAAGUUAUUCAUGCCGCUAACUCACAUGAAACUCAGCUAUGCAUAAACAUUAAAUGCUGCAUACCCAAGAAGGGUGUAGUCCCUUUGAAAAGAUUUUAAAGAAUGAUAAGCUGUCACAGACAGCUAAGCAGGAACAAACUGAUUUAUAUGGCAUUCCAUCCACAAUCAUGCUAUAACAUACAGGAUUUUUUUAAACUCGGUGUUAGGGUAGAGACAAACAAACUCAGAGGAAAGCUUGAAGUUCUACUUUUCUUAAGUGUAUGCAAGCUUUCUGGCAACCAGAUUAAUUGAUAAUUGAUAAUUGAAUAAAAAUGAUUAUAAAUAAUUAAAAAGGUGUGCAAGCUAUUAGACCAUCUUUUGCCUCUGGAUAUGUCAAUUCCCAGGAUUCUUGGCCAGUAUGGCUGCUACCAGCUACAGUCUUCUUAUGUCUGGAGGAAUCCAGUCCUUCAGAGCAGGUCAGGUCAAGAAAGAGACACUACAAGAAAUACUAAAAAUAUGUUAUUGAUACAGGCUUUAGUAACAGAAUCUUCAAAGCCCGACAGUGUUUCCCCUUCUUUCCCUCGUUCCUAUAAGAAAGACAGUCAAGGUGGGGCAACCUUGAGUUUCUUUCUCACACUUUGUUUUCCCAGGCUAUGCUCAUGUUUUACUUAUGGUUGCCACAUAUCUUCUUCUACUCCUUUGCAUCAGUUUAGUACAGCUGUCUUAAGCUAUAUAGCCCAUCAAUUCAGCCCCCAGGGCAGCAGCAGUUUCUCAACUGAAUGUUUCCCGAAGCUUAUGGAUUGUUGUUCUGAGAGAGCCAAUGUGGUAUAGUACAUAAGAUAGUGUUUCUCAAUCUUGGCAACGUUAAGUUGUGUGGAGUUCAGCCCCCAGAAUCCCCCAGCCAGCAUGUUGGCUGAGGAAUUCUAGAAGUUGAAGUCUCCUCAUCUUAAAGUUGCCAAGGUUGAGCUGCUGUGCCUUAAGGUGCUGGACUAGGAGUGGGGAGAUCUAGAUUCUAGUCCUCCAUUAGACAUGGAAACCAGCUGGGGGACUUUGGGCCAGUCAUUCCUUCUGAGUCCUAAUCAAGGUCAGGGUCUGCAGUCAAUGGUCUGCAGAAAAACAAAACCUCUCAUUGUAUCAUGCACAGAUAAACUUCACCAAGCAGGACAAAUGCUAAGAACAGUGUUUAUGGUAGACCUGAUUGGUUGAUCUCCUCCCAACUAGCUUCAUCACCCCAAAAAUACUGACUGGAACAGCAGCCCAGAAAGUUUCAAAGAGAUAAAUGCAGUUAAUUAAUCUGACAUCAUCACAUCUCUAAACUUAGCCUAGGAAAUGGUGAUCGGCAACCCACACGGGGGAAGAAAGGGUGAAUAAUUGCAAGGCUUGCAAAGAGAAGCACGAGAUUAACUUUCUGUGCUUGCCUUUUUUGCUGGAGAAAAAGAAUAUUGAAAUAUUUGUUUGUUUAAUGUAAACUAUUUCGAUCACCGCUCAUCUCACCCCAGAGACUCUAGGCGACGCACCGAGGAUCAACCCCCCCCUCCCCACACACACACAGCAGCAUCAUUUACAAAACAGUACUCCAAAAUAGUAAAUGUCAAUAUGAUACUGUUGGUACGGCCUCAGAGCAUAGCCCCCGCUUGCCAUACACGAUCGCUGCUACUGCUUUCCCGGCACCCUUAACGGGCGUCCCGUCAGGAAGCCACCGCACCAAAGCAGCGGGGAAGGGAGGGGAACGGGGAGCGAGACGGCGCAUGCCUCGGCCCCCAAAGCCCCCGUUCCUUCUGUCCUGAAACAAGAGCUCGGCUUAGAAUCCGGAUUUUAAAAAUACCGCUGACCGUGUGCGGGAUAUUUAAUUGCUUAAACUGCUUUCUGACUCUGCCCGGUGUGGCGUUGGCGUCUGGGGCAGCGGAGAACGGGGCAGCUCCUAAACAGGAAAAACGUUCUUCCUCUGAAGUCCCAACUGCUUCUACGACUUCCUUGCGACCGCGGGAAGCCAGCAACGCCCAGCCGCUCGCUUCCCUUUGAGGGAUCCGUCCAGCCCUGCCUCGCCAGCUGACGCCCUUCCCCAGUCACAAUGACCCAGAUCUGCAAGACCAGGCGGCGCGGCGCGACGCGGCCCCUCCACAGCUGCAGUCAAGAAGUGGCACUGGACGGCUCUGGCCACCAUGAGUCCGGCAGCGACGGCCAUCUGUUCCCUCCUCUCUGCCGGCCGCAUUUUCCCAGGAGCUUAGGAAGAGCGGGAAGAAGAGGAGGAGGAGCUCGGUGCUCACGUGCAAAAGGAUUGCGGCGUGACGUCAAAGGAGAACCCCGCAGGGAGGAUUCCCUCGGAGGGGAGCACCACUGCAUGGCCUCUUCUGGGACAGAAAACCAUUUGCAAAAUUAUUUGGAAAGACCAAGUUAUUCACGAACACAAGAUCUUAUGUCAAGCCUUGCAAGAUGUCACACGAGAAGCGAUGUGCCAAAACUUUGCUCCAGUCAUCAGCUCCUGCACGCAAACCCCAGAAGCAAUUUCCUGUAGCUCUGGGCUACAAGAUGGACCAGGCUUUAAUUUCCGAAUAUGUCCCUAUUGUCAUACACCCAGGAGGACUGAAGCCUGAGUAUCUUAGCUUUGCCUUCUAUAACCCUAAUUACUCCAAUUCAUACUCUCCAUUUUACACUUUACAAAAACCAACCUGUGGCUAUCGGUAUUGUCGAGACACUGACCACCGAAGAAAAGUCUUGGAUGUUGAGCGAGCAAAUAUUCCAAAGUGGAGAACUAUUGUGGGGAAAAAGCCAGGUGUGGCUUCAGGAGGCACAAAAUUCUGAUGUGGCCAUGCAUUUCUUCAGAGACUUUCCUCUAUAACAGCAUUUUGAUUCAAAACCUGAAGUCUGUCAUCCUCCCAGCAUGUCUAAAAGGAGAUGCUGCAGAAGCUUCAAAAGAAAGAGUUCUGCCUUAUGGCAAGAGCUUCUGGAACAAACUGCAAUGGAAUAAUCCAAGUCCUCAGGAAAGGUACCGAAGCCAGACUUACUUUGGCUUUGAAACCACAAUCUGUGGUUUAACAUCUAUAGUCACAAAAGCACCAACAUGAAGACCAAAUGAGCUGUUAACUUUUCUGUCUGUUGCCUUAUUUACUAUGAUAUGUUUUUCAUUCCCAGAGAAAUGGGGAGGACAAAAGCAGAAGCAAUUUGAGAUUUGCUUUGUUCAGCCAACCAUAAUUCCAGAUAUUACAAUGAAAGCAAAACCACAACACUUCCCUCAACAUCUGUGUAACAGAGCUAUAUAACAUUCACAUUAAUAUUUAGAAUCUAAUAAUUAAGGGAAGCCAUCUGUAGGGUAGAUGUGGAAGUUAAAAGGCCAGUUUAGUGAGUUAUGUAUUCAGGUAUACUGGAUAAAGUAAAAAAUAGUAGAGCUGGGAACCUGCUAUAGGGCAAGCAAGUUGGGGAAAUAAACCAUUUUCCAAGCUGCCAGGAACAGAAAUGAUACAAUAGGCUUGAUGGUGGAGAACAUUGUCAAGGUUUAGUAGUGGAGAAAAUAAUCACAUUUCUAGAAUAGCAGUGGGCAAGCUAUGGGGUGCAUUCCCCUCCUUUAGUAUGUCCAUGGCCCCACAUACAUGUGCAAAAUGAUUGGCCCACACUUGCAUCCUGGUUCCACCUAUUUGAGCACAGCCCUUGGCCAGUGAAAUGGUGCCCAUCUUUGCUCUAAAAUCAUGGUGUACUUGAAGCAAAUUUUAAACUCUCCAGCGACAUGUUGAUCAUGUUGGGUUUACAACACCUACUUUACAUUGUUCUCUUUUGUUUUAUAUAAAAAGGUAGAAGUCUCAUUGGUUUACAGUUUAGCUCCUAAUGUCUUCAUGGACAUGUUUUGGGAACAGUACAGAAAGAUUUGCUCUUACCUUCUUCCAAUUUUUUUUUUUUUUUACUUCCCAGUGUAGCCUACAGCCUUAGCAUAUCCUGGUAGUCUCCCAUCCAAUUACUAACCAGAUCCAGUUCUGUUUAGUUUUUUACUUAAGUGACAGGAUCCAGGAUUGCAUGAGGCCACCUCUUCCUUAAUUGACAGACCAAGAGCCUCCAUGAAGCUUUUCUUUGUAAGGAUCUGACUGGUGUAGCAGAGAGAGGCCUAUGCUUCCAUGCUGCUGGAGAAGUAAAAGGAUGAGCUAUUCCUUCCUCCACCUUCUGCUAUCUUAUGAAAGAGGAGGUUAUUCAUACUUUUUGUUUGUUUGUUCUGGAUUUCUUUUUCCAUCUGUUUUAUGACAGAACACUUAGGGGUAUAUAGUUGCUGUCAAAUUUCCCUCAUGCAAAUGUCUUUUGGAGUUAUACUUGUUUAUGACUCUACCUAGAUUACCGCUGGAGGGCAGCAUUGAUCCCCAGUGAAUAGGCUAAAUGACCAGGGACUUGCAGAGAGGUGAAGGCAACCCUGGAGCACCAAAAAGUAAAUGGAAACCCUUGACUAGGCUGUGUGCAGAGCAGCUUCUAAUAAAAGCCAAGUUCAGGUUGGGAUUAUCAAGUGCUGAAUUCUGACGCCAAUUGGAACAAAUCCUCUGAAGCCUUCUGAUUUUGCUAAGGGCUCUCUCUACUACUUAGCAGAUAUGAUAAUUCCUUUGCAAUAAAGAAGUGUUUCGACCUUGCUCUUGUUCUUUCACAACCUGAAAAAGUGUGUCACAAGGAGCCCUUCUGUCUUCUGUAUCUACUGCUCUCA